UUGGACCUUGGACCUGGACAGGCGGUCCGCCUCACGGCGAGUACUGUCUUGCUGGGUCUUUCCUCUUGGUGAUCUGUUGUUUCGGCAGCAGGGAACCAGGACCUUUA
Molecule: ribosomal RNA, 107 nt
Filed under: uncultured Basidiomycota
Lineage: Eukaryota; Fungi; Basidiomycota
Description: partial 18S ribosomal RNA
Source: RNAcentral